This 459-nucleotide ribosomal RNA is filed under the name uncultured bacterium. RNAcentral describes it as "bacterial SSU rRNA". It matches the Rfam family "Bacterial small subunit ribosomal RNA", at positions 64 to 507 of the family's 1533-position model. The record is from RNAcentral.
GAGCGAAGUGGCAGCUGUAGCAAUACAGUAUGUGCUUAGCGGCAGACGGGUGAGUAACACGUAGACAAUCUACCUUCUAGAGGGGGAUAGCCCGCCGAAAGGCGGGGUAAUACCGCGUAAGAUCAAAGCCUGGCAUCGGGCCUUGAUGAAACGUCCGCAAGGACGGCUAGAAGAGGAGUCUGCGGCCUAUCAGCUAGUUGGUGAGGUAACGGCUCACCAAGGCAACGACGGGUAUCCGGCCUGAAAGGGUGAUCGGACACACUGACACUGAGACACGGGUCAGACUCCUACGGGAGGCAGCAGUGAGGAAUUUUGGACAAUGGGGGAAACCCUGAUCCAGCGACGCCGCGUGAAGGAUGAAGGUCUUCGGAUUGUAAACUUCUUUUGCUUGGGACUAACCGCUCCGUAGAAAUACGGGGAAUGAAUGUACCAGGCGAAUAAGCCACGGCUAACUUCGUG